GCAAGUCGGUUACUCUGGAAAAGACUAGCCCACUGUUUUGGGUGGAUCUGAUUUUGGACCUUCAUCACAAACAGCUUUUGGAACAUCAAUUGGUGGUGGUUGUUGCAUGCAAAUCUGAACUUUAUUCUCAGGCUCCAUCGGAACAAAUACUGGAUUGAUGGGAGGCUCUGUAAUCCUCACAUUUGCUGUUGGUAUCAAGGAGACUCCAGAUGGUUGUGGAUCUAUUACUGCAUGAGGCAAUGGAACAGUUAUC
RNAcentral lists this long non-coding RNA (253 nucleotides) under Nicotiana benthamiana. Its description in RNAcentral is "long non-coding RNA (NBEN_LNC036553)". The record is from RNAcentral. Lineage: Eukaryota; Viridiplantae; Streptophyta; Magnoliopsida; Solanales; Solanaceae.